Molecule: ribosomal RNA, 447 nt
Filed under: uncultured bacterium
Lineage: Bacteria
Description: bacterial SSU rRNA
Rfam family: Bacterial small subunit ribosomal RNA
Source: RNAcentral
UCGGGAAUUUUGGGCAAUGGGCGAAAGCCUGACCCAGCAACGCCGCGUGAAGGAUGAAGUAUUUCGGUAUGUAAACUUCGAAAGAAUAGGAAGAAUAAAUGACGGUACUAUUUAUAAGGUCCGGCUAACUACGUGCCAGCAGCCGCGGUAAUACGUAGGGACCAAGCGUUGUUCGGAUUUACUGGGCGUAAAGGGCGCGUAGGCGGCAAUUCAAGUCAUCUGUGAAAUCUCCGGGCUUAACUCGGAACGGUCAGAUGAUACUGCUUUGCUAGAGUGCAGAAGGGGCAAUCGGAAUUCUUGGUGUAGCGGUGAAAUGCGUAGAUAUCAAGAGGAACACCUGAGGUGAAGACGGGUUGCUGGGCUGACACUGACGCUGAGGAGCGAAAGCAUGGGUAGCAAACAGGAUUAGAUACCCAAGUAGUCCCUGAGCGGGCUGGCAAGGCGCAU